Molecule: ribosomal RNA, 492 nt
Filed under: uncultured bacterium
Lineage: Bacteria
Description: partial 16S ribosomal RNA
Rfam family: Bacterial small subunit ribosomal RNA
Source: RNAcentral
AGUGAACGCUGGCGGUAGGCCUAACACAUGCAAGUCGAACGGCAGCACAGUAAGAGCUUGCUCUUACGGGUGGCGAGUGGCGGACGGGUGAGGAAUACAUCGGAAUCUACUUUUUCGUGGGGGAUAACGUAGGGAAACUUACGCUAAUACCGCAUACGACCUACGGGUGAAAGCGGGGGAUCUUCGGACCUUGCGCGAUUGAAUGAGCCGAUGUCGGAUUAGCUAGUUGGCGGGGUAAAGGCCCACCAAGGCGACGAUCCGUAGCUGGUCUGAGAGGAUGAUCAGCCACACUGGAACUGAGACACGGUCCAGACUCCUACGGGAGGCAGCAGUGGGGAAUAUUGGACAAUGGGCGCAAGCCUGAUCCAGCCAUACCGCGUGGGUGAAGAGGGCCUUCGGGUUGUAAAGCCCUUUUGUUGGGAAAGAAAAGCAGCAGGUUAAUACCCCGCUGUUCUGACGGUACCCAAAGAAUAAGCACUGGCUAACUUCGUG